AAAAGAAGUUCACCAAUUACGUAAAAGAGUUGUUGAUUUGGCCCUUUCAUUUUUUAGGGGUUACUCUACUGCCAUGGACAGGUGUUGGCAACCUGUGGCCCCGGGUGGUGUUGAUUAACCUCUGUGUUUGCUCUGGAGGACAGCUGCUUCUUUGAGAAAGAGUGAGAGAGGGAGAGGAUGAAAGGGAAUCGGUUCUAGAAGCAGGUCUGGGUCAGCUGAGACUGUGAGAGCGAAGAAAUUUUGGAGCUUUUGAAAUAUGACGGAGGAGGAAUGCAGUUGGAGGUCAAUAGGGCUGAUGUAGAGGAUCAACCUCCUGCGAUUCCAUUCUUCUUUCGUCAGCUGUUGUCAAGGUGAAGCCCUUAUGCACUUUAUGAAAUUGACAUGGGGCACUGUUGAAUGAAUUGGAUGACUAAUAUAUGUUCCCUCAGUGAAGUAUGGAGUAAAUGAUAUGGUUACCUGAUUUCACAUACCGGUCCAUUUGAUUUGUUGUUUUGCGGGGACCUUUGGCCUUUUAUAAGGGUUUCAUCCCAAAUUUUGGACGCCUAGGAUCUUGGAAUGUGAUCAUGUUUCUAACCUGUGAGCAGGGAUUGACUUCUUGGAAUUUAAACCUUAAGAGGUU
This 619-nucleotide long non-coding RNA is filed under the name Rosa chinensis. RNAcentral's name for it is "sRNA RchiOBHm_Chr2g0130681". The record is from RNAcentral. Lineage: Eukaryota; Viridiplantae; Streptophyta; Magnoliopsida; Rosales; Rosaceae.